UCUAUGACGGGUAUCCGGCCUGAGAGGGUGAUCGGACACACUGGAACUGAGACACGGUCCAGACUCCUACGGGAGGCAGCAGUAGGGAAUAUUGCUCAAUGGGGGAAACCCUGAAGCAGCAACGCCGCGUGGAGGAUGAAGGUUUUAGGAUUGUAAACUCCUUUUGUUAGAGAAGAUUAUGACGGUAUCUUACGAAUAAGCACCGGCUAACUCCGUGCCAGCAGCCGCGGUAAUACGGAGGGUGCAAGCGUUACUCGGAAUCACUGGGCGUAAAGAGCGCGUAGGCGGGAUAGUAAGUCAGAUGUGAAAUCCUGUGGCUUAACUAUAGAACUGCAUUUGAAACUACUUUUCUAGAGUGUGGGAGAGGUAGGUGGAAUA
This 378-nucleotide ribosomal RNA is filed under the name uncultured Helicobacter sp. RNAcentral's name for it is "bacterial SSU rRNA". It matches the Rfam family "Bacterial small subunit ribosomal RNA", at positions 273 to 668 of the family's 1533-position model. The record is from RNAcentral. Lineage: Bacteria; Pseudomonadati; Campylobacterota; Epsilonproteobacteria; Campylobacterales; Helicobacteraceae.